Molecule: long non-coding RNA, 407 nt
Organism: Bombina bombina (fire-bellied toad)
Lineage: Eukaryota; Metazoa; Chordata; Amphibia; Anura; Bombinatoridae
Exons: 3
Source: RefSeq, a predicted model, not a curated record
UGGACGGCAGCUGAGUAUAACUUUUUACACAGAACUUGCUCUGGUGAGCUGAGGAAAUUGUGAGAAAAGACGCAGAAAACCCAUCAGGAGGGGCAGAGAGAGAAGAGCAAAUAGGACCAGAAGGGGCAAGUAAAAACAGAUCUCUCCAGCGCCUCCAAAUCCUUCUUGUAAAAUCAAGAUCCAAAAAGCUCUAUCCCCCCCCCCCACCCCCAAAGAGCCAGGAGCCACUGCAGAUCAAGGAGCCCGUGCAGAUAUGGCUGUAACCUGCACACGUUUUACAGAUGAAUACCAGCUAUAUGAAGAAAUUGGCAAGGGAGCAUUUUCAGUGGUUAGACGCUGUGUGAAGCUCUGUACGGGACACGAAUAUGCAGCAAAGAUCAUAAACACUAAGAAGUUGUCGGCGCGAG